This is a long non-coding RNA of Corvus hawaiiensis (hawaiian crow), 406 nucleotides long. RefSeq lists it as uncharacterized. The record is from RefSeq and is a predicted model, not a curated record. Lineage: Eukaryota; Metazoa; Chordata; Aves; Passeriformes; Corvidae. The transcript is spliced from 3 exons.
CUCAAAGAGAGCUGAUCAGCGCCCGAAGGGAGCAAGGACUCGCUGCGAGUUCCACUUUGGAAUUGAGGUCAGUUGAGAUGUGAGAGACAGCUUUGGUUAAUCGUGUCGUGACCUUGCCAACCUGCAGUUAUACAGCGUGCCCACAGCCUUCAGAGCACUGGAUAGCAGCAUCAUUAGCAAGACCUUUGUCCUGUGCCAGGGUGGAGAACGGCUGUCAUGGGGAGUACAACAUUUGGCCCAGAGGAAAAAUACACCUCUUGUAAACCAGGAUAGAAGGAAGAAAGGAAGACUUUGGAGACAAUUUGAUUCAAGCCAUGCCCUUUCAUUUUGGACUGGAUUCACCAAUAUUCUGUUUCCCAGAUCUGUCACGACACCUCACCAGAGAAAUUUGCUCCAUCUAGAGCUC